CAGCAGCCGCGGUAACACGGAGGGUGCAAGCGUUAUCCGGAUUCACUGGGUUUAAAGGGUGCGUAGGCGGAUCUGUAAGUCAGUGGUGAAAUCUCCAGGCUUAACCUGGAAACUGCCGUUGAUACUAUAGGUCUUGAAUUUUGUGGAGGUUAGCGGAAUAUGUCAUGUAGAGGUGAAAUUCGUAGAUAUCCGCAGGAACACCAGUGGCGAAGGCGGCUAACUGGUCCAUAACUGACGCUGAGGUGCGAAAGCGUGGGGAGCAAACAGGAUUAGAUACCCGUGUAGUCCCUGUCUCUUAUAA
Molecule: ribosomal RNA, 301 nt
Filed under: uncultured bacterium
Lineage: Bacteria
Description: partial 16S ribosomal RNA
Rfam family: Bacterial small subunit ribosomal RNA
Source: RNAcentral